AUGCUCUUCUGCUACACGCCUCACCCACUUCUUCCUCAGCGCCUGGACGCUCCCGAGCAUAGUCACUGUCCCAUGCUCCACCACCCUCCCCAACCUCAGGGAGCUCGGCCUCUCCAUUGUUGCCCUGGAUUUUCCCCCGUGUUUAACAUGUUAAUUGAGAGAGGGUUGAGCUCAUCCUAUAAACUGAAACAUACUUCUUCUCGGUUGACAUGUUUGAGCUCGGCCUGUCUCAAUCUCCGGGAGGAUGUUUUCAUAUCACAACACGCAUACUACUGGUUUGGAAGCCUGGUCGUAGGUUCCACACCAGCUAAAUUUGGUCACUCAAUCCGCAUUCACUCCGGUCCAUCGGGUGGUUCGUUCCAACACUACACACACCUGCUACUAGAUUUUUUUUUUCGACAUGUCAACUGA
Molecule: ribosomal RNA, 411 nt
Filed under: Triticum aestivum (bread wheat)
Lineage: Eukaryota; Viridiplantae; Streptophyta; Magnoliopsida; Poales; Poaceae
Description: partial small subunit ribosomal RNA
Source: RNAcentral